This 458-nucleotide ribosomal RNA is filed under the name uncultured bacterium. Its description in RNAcentral is "partial 16S ribosomal RNA". It matches the Rfam family "Bacterial small subunit ribosomal RNA", at positions 338 to 795 of the family's 1533-position model. The record is from RNAcentral.
CCUACGGGAGGCAGCAGUGAGGAAUAUUGGUCAAUGGGCGAGAGCCUGAACCAGCCAAGUCGCGUGAGGGAGUACUGCCCUAUGGGUUGUAAACCUCUUUUGUCGGGGAGCAAAAGCAGGACGUGUCCGGCUGUGAGAGUACCCGAAGAAAAAGCAUCGGCUAACUCCGUGCCAGCAGCCGCGGUAAUACGGAGGAUGCGAGCGUUAUCCGGAUUUAUUGGGUUUAAAGGGUGCGCAGGCGGAUUUUUAAGUCAGCGGUAAAAUCGUGGGGCUCAACCCCAUCCAGCCGUUGAAACUGGGGAUCUAGAGUGUGCGAGAGGUAUGCGGAAUGCGUGGUGUAGCGGUGAAAUGCAUAGAUAUCACGCAGAACCCCGAUUGCGAAGGCAGCAUACCGGUGCACAACUGACGCUCAGGCACGAAAGCGUGGGUAUCGAACAGGAUUAGAUACCCCGGUAGUC